Long non-coding RNA from Carassius auratus (goldfish), 2905 nucleotides. RefSeq lists it as uncharacterized. The transcript is spliced from 3 exons. The record is from RefSeq and is a predicted model, not a curated record. NCBI's taxonomy places the organism in Eukaryota, Metazoa, Chordata, Actinopteri, Cypriniformes, Cyprinidae.
UCCACCUGUAUUCCCACGAGCUCAUUCUCCUCCGUGCCUCAGCAGUGGCAGGUCCUGAACCGCGGGAAGCAGAUGGCUGCCUUUUUCCCCCUUUUUUUUCGGAAGAGAGACGAACAAGAGCAGAGCAUUUUUUCCGUGCAAAAACGCUCACAAAGCACACAGAUUGCCUCCUCAAAGACAUUGCGUGCUUGCUCUUCACCCAAACAAAUGACUGUGUCAUCGGGUGUCAAAUAACGCCGACACGGAUGCACGCAUUUGUUGUGUAUUGAUGUGACGUCAUCAACGUGCUUACGGCACACACAGAAGGAAAAUAAAGAUAGAGAUGGAGAACGUUGAAUCUGGUCUGUGUGUGUGGUUUGAUCCAAAAUAACCAGUAAGGUUACAACAUUGGCGACGAGGAUGUCAUGACUCACUCGGUAGUUAAAUCUGAAAGUGAGUUAAACACGUACCUCGCCGAGUCUUUUAGUGCAGUUACCUGCAAAGUUUAGUGGCGAUAAGUGUUGCGCGCUGAAAAUGGACGGCGCUGUUCCAAAGUUCGACUGCUACAGUGAUCCAGCCACGUUGGGUCCGCGGUGGACAAGAUGGUUAAAUGCAUUUGAACUUUUUGCUGAUGGAAAGGGUUUAAUUCUGACUGACGAUGCAUCAGACGCUACAAAGCAAAGACGAAGAGCCUUAUUAUUGGAUCAUGCUGGGACGGAUGUGCAGGAUAUUUUCUCCACACUCGCUGACACAGGAGGGCCAACAGAUUACGUGCAGGCAGUAACAGCACUGAACGCAUACUUUGUGCCCCAGGUAAACACGGCAUUUGCAAGACAGACAUUUUAUCAGCUAAAGCAGAAAACGGGACAGACUGUGCAACAGUUUAAGUUUCCCUUUUUUCCACCAGGUGGUUCAGGGCUUCUUUAAUGGCCUCUUUUGCUAAAUGGAAGAGAGUUUGUAUGGGUCUGGAGCAACAUGGGGAGAGUAAAUUAUUAGCAUUUUUAUUUUUUGGUGAACAACCCUUUGAAGAGCAGCCCUCCACGUACAUUACAAUUUGUGAGACUUCUUUAACUGCCAUCUCUACUUCCCACUAAAUGCGACAGCAUCACUAAGCAUCCAUGACAUCCAUGACAUUCCCUGCAGCGCUGUGCCAGGCCUGAUGAUCAAGGAGGCUCCCACAGAAGCCUGUGAUCUCAGCCACCGAAUACCGGAAAAUGAAGCCGGAUGGCUGGUGCUGGUGAGUGUUUAGCAAACACUGUAAUUGAGCACUGCAAAGGAAACUCACAGAGUUUAUUAGUAGACACGAAACCACCAGCAAUUUAAUACACAUAAAUAUAUACAGAGAGGGUUACAUACUCACCCACCCUCCUGCACUGGAGCCCAACUCAAGGGGCGCUUUCUUUUAGCCCGGACCAUCAGUAAGGUGGUUGCUAUGAACAUAAAACCAGCCAAAAACAUUACACGUCCAGAAUAGGAGACUGUUAUGCGAGAGGUUUCCACCUAACCUCGAUCAGGUGGAGAGCUGGUGGUUACAGGGGAAUUAGGAAGGGGAGGAUAAAAGCAGAAGUUAAAAAUCCCUGAAGGGAAUGAGUAGAUUCCUUGGUAUCACUUUUUCGCUGCCUCGUCUGGAUCACAUCCCUUAGGUUCUGUUUAUUUCCUCGUGACCGCCGAUUCCUCUUACCCCUGCCCGCAGGUGGGGGAGGAGCGCGAGUCGUGACACUAGCCUUCAUCUCCCUGAACUUCUCGAUCACCAUCUCAACGGAAAUACUGAUAAGUUCAGAAGGCGAAACCUGAGUAUCGAGAAGAAAGCCUUUUCUUUCUUCCCGAUGUCUGCCAGGUUCAUCCACAGACGUCUCUUCGCUGCCACCUGCUUGGUAGCAUGGAGAGAGGUCCGUGGUGCGGCACGGCUCAGCUACCUGAUCAGGAGAAAGGCCCUUGCCUCCAUCCAGGUCUCUUAGAAGAUCAGCCUGAUAUGCUUGAAGCUGAUAUGCUUGAUGGUGUCGUGUGUAAUAAAGCCACAGCCUGACCUGCUGCUGCGUAUGCCACGCCAUUUCAGCCAGAUUAAUUUUUGAAGGGGCUUAGAUGGCAAGGAGGGAGCUUAAGAGAGGAUGUCUCCCCUGCAGAGAGAUUUUUUUUUUUUAACCUCUUUCUACAGGGGGCAUCCUCUCAUAGCCGCAUUCGCGCAUCACCUCAACGAUUUCUAGAUUUCUUUUUGAUAUUUAUAUGGAGAUCAUGCAGAAAUGGAAGGCUCACAUGAGCUAGAGGGCUAUGGUCAGAAAGAUAAUGCUCAUUUUUAAAAUGGCUUUACAUCGUCACCUUGUUAGCGCAUCUUCAUGGCUAGUCCAACUUUGCCGUGGCGCGAUCCAUAACCUCUAACAGCUCUACAUACGCAGGGCAGGAGAAUUGAGAAGGCUCAGCCUCAGCUUCUUCACCAUCCUCAAAUAUCUCCUGCUUUUCCUGGGUAAAAACCUAGCAGGGCACUAACCUCAGUAUCAGAAAGUGUUAAAGAUUUAACAUCAUCCUCCCGAGGCUCUCUCUCGUCCGCCGCCAUUACGAGCGUGAAAGGGAAAAUCCCUCUUUAAAACAUUCAAACAGAUCCACCUGUAUUCCCACGAGCUCAUUCUCCUCCGUGCCUCAGCAGCGGCAGGUCCUGAACCGCGGGAAGCAGAUGGCUGCCUUUUUCCCCCUUUUUUUUCGGAAGAGAGACGAACAAGAGCAGAGCAUUUUUUUCGGUGAAUGCACACAGAUUGCCUCCUCAAAGACAUCGCGUGCUUCAGUGGCGGCAAAUAUUUGCUUGAUUAAUGAGGAUAGUUCACCCAUUCAGUUGAUAAAUUAACAGCUAGUUAAAGAUGUAAAGGGAACUAAACUAUAGUAUUAAUUAAAAAUAAACUGACAUUAGGAAUCAAUCUCUUGCUCUCCUUAUGUU